UCCGGUGGCUGUGUCGAAGAGGUCACACCCGUUCCCAUCUCGAACACGGAAGUUAAGCUCUUUUGAGCCGAUGGUACUGCACGGGCAACUGUGUGGGAGAGUAGGUAGUUGCCGGAA
Molecule: ribosomal RNA, 117 nt
Filed under: Acidobacteriota bacterium
Lineage: Bacteria; Pseudomonadati; Acidobacteriota
Source: RNAcentral